UGGGGAAUUUUGCACAAUGGGGGAAACCCUGAUGCAGCGACGCCGCGUGAUUUAGAAGGCCUUCGGGUUGUAAAAAUCUUUUCUAUGGGAAGAAAAUGACAGUACCAUAGGAAUAAGGACCGGCUAAUUACGUGCCAGCAGCCGCGGUAAUACGUAAGGUCCGAGCGUUGUCCGGAAUCAUUGGGCGUAAAGGGUACGUAGGCGGGUAAGCAAGUUAGAAGUGAAAUCCUAUAGCUCAACUAUAGUAAGCUUUUAAAACUGCUCAUCUUGAGGUAUGGAAGGGAAAGUGGAAUUCCUAGUGUAGCGGUGAAAUGCGCAGAUAUUAGGAGGAAUACCGGUGGCGAAGGCGACUUUCUGGCCAUAACCUGACGCUGAGGUACGAAAGCGUGGGUAGCAAACA
Molecule: ribosomal RNA, 400 nt
Filed under: bacterium
Lineage: Bacteria
Description: partial 16S ribosomal RNA
Rfam family: Bacterial small subunit ribosomal RNA
Source: RNAcentral